Balaenoptera musculus (blue whale) is the source of this 1058-nucleotide long non-coding RNA. RefSeq lists it as uncharacterized. The record is from RefSeq and is a predicted model, not a curated record. The transcript is spliced from 3 exons. Lineage: Eukaryota; Metazoa; Chordata; Mammalia; Artiodactyla; Balaenopteridae.
GAGUCUGAGCUGUGUGCGCGUUCCAGUUCAGCGAGCAUGUCGUACGCGCAGGAACCCUCUGAAGUGCAGAGAGUAGGAAGGUACUGGACACCUCCACCACCCUUCUCCCCAGCCUCGGGGUUGCUCCCUCCCUCUGGCCCAGCCGUCACCCAACGGACCAAGGGUGCCUGUCUGACUGUGCCCUGCCUGCCUGGGGCACGGGCAUCACCUCUGAGCUGAUGUUGGGUGAAGGAAUGAAUGACGGGGUGGUGACAGCACACAGGAGCUGACCGCCCCCAUCAGAGCAGCAGCCUCCCACUCCCAUUUCUUGGGAAGCCCUGCACACCCAGCGGCCUCUGGGGGAUGCCAGAAGGUGGGGGAAAGUCAACUGGUCACAAGAACAGCCCCGGAGGGACACGACGGUGGCAGGGGCCUGACUUCACCAAGAACCCUCCCCUCAGGGCCCCUGUGGACAGAGAAUGUUGCCCACCAUCAAGCCUUCUGCCACUGCAGCGCCGCCCCGCUUCCCCACAGUGGUGCGCCCUGAGGGGAUUCAGGAUGGAGAAAAACCAGAUACUGGCCCUAGAUAGCUGAAGUGCAUAUCAAAGGAAUGAUUUCAGUGAGCCCAGACAGCAUCUAGCAUCUUCCCAUACACAGAAAAGCACUGCAAUCAUUAACUAGAGACGUCAGCUUUUUGCGAUUAGCAGGAAACUUUUGAUGUUUGACUCUGGUUUUGUUUUCUUCAGCAAAAACUCCUAGGAACAGUUCCUCAGAGCUAUAUGAGAAGCAAUGUCUUGGGCUACAGUCCUCAGUGAGUUCCUGGAAUAAAACAUAACUCAGCUUUCAGGUCUUGUAUUUUUCAGUCGAUACCCCCUGGGGACCCUGCAGCGCUGGCUGCUGUGUCCUCAGAUGGGAGCCUGCCCUCUAGGCCUUUAGCAGAAGCCAGCGGAACUUCUGCAGAAGUGGAGUGGCAAGGGGGCCUCCUCCAGGCAGCCCUCCUUCCAGCAUCUUUGUGCUCCUGCACUGGGACCUGGGGCCCCCCAGCAUCUCCCCGACCCAUGAGGCUCUUUGGGCUUCAC